RNAcentral lists this ribosomal RNA (949 nucleotides) under uncultured organism. RNAcentral's name for it is "bacterial SSU rRNA". It matches the Rfam family "Bacterial small subunit ribosomal RNA", at positions 462 to 1427 of the family's 1533-position model. The record is from RNAcentral.
AUGCGGUAUGACGGUACCCUUUCGAAUAAGAGGUUGCUAACUCUGUGCCAGCAGCAGCGGUAAUACAGAGACCUCGAGCGUUAUCCGGAUUUACUGGGCGUAAAGCGUCUGUAGGGGGUUUGUUAAGUUCCAAGUAAAAUCUUAAGGCUCAACUUUAAGUUCGCUUGGAAAACUAAUAAACUGGAGUCCAGCAGAGGUGCAUGGAACUUGCGGUGUAGGAGUGAAAUCCGUUGAUAUCGCAAGGAACACCAAAGGCGAAGGCAUUGCACUGGGCUGGUACUGACCCUGAGAGACGAAAGCGUGGGGAGCAAAACGGAUUAGAUACCCGUGUAGUCCACGCCGUAAACGAUGGAUACUAGAUGUUCGGGGAUUCGACCCCCUGGGUGUCACAGCUAACGCGUUAAGUAUCCCGCCUGGGAAGUACGGCCGCAAGGCUAAAACUCAAAGGAAUAGACGGGGAUCCGCACAAGCGGUGGAGCGUCUGGUUUAAUUUGAUAGUAAGCAAUGGACCUCACCAAGGUUUGACAUCCUAUGACAACCCUGGAAACAGGGCUUCCUUCGGGCAUAGUGACAGGUGCUGCAUGGUCGUCGUCAGUUCGUGCCGUGAGGUGUUCCGUUAAGUCGGGAAACGAACGAAACCCUCGUCGCAUGUUACAAAUUUCAUGCGAGACUGCCCGGGUCAACCGGGAGGAAGGCGGGGAUGACGUCAGAUCAGCAUGGCCCUUAUACCUUGGGCUACACAGGCGCUACAAUGGCCGGUACAAAGGGUUGCAAAACCGCGAGGUGAAGCUAAUCCCAUAAAGCCGGUCCAAGUUCGGAUUGGAGGCUGCAACUCGCCUCCAUGAAGUUGGAAUCGCUAGUAAUCGUGGAUCAGCCAUACCACGGGAAUACGUUCCCGGAUCUUGUACUCACCGCCCGUCACACCAAGAGAGUUGGUAGCUCCUGAAGC